RNAcentral lists this ribosomal RNA (891 nucleotides) under Triticum aestivum (bread wheat). Its description in RNAcentral is "partial small subunit ribosomal RNA". The record is from RNAcentral. Lineage: Eukaryota; Viridiplantae; Streptophyta; Magnoliopsida; Poales; Poaceae.
AUGAAGAUCAAAGGGCCAGCAGGAAGACAGCCAAUGUCCAAAGCCAGAGCAUCAACUCAAGUACCUGAGAUGCCUGAAGAGCCAGGUGCAGAAGGAAAGAAAAGGAAGGAAAGGGUCAAGAAGACCAUGGCCAGAGUUGUUGGUCAACCUUCCAUGAUGGAAGAGGAAGAAGAGGUUGCUGCACCAGCACCAAAGGCACAAAAGCUUAUGGGUGAUGCUAUAAAGUCAGGGGCUGCAACAUCAAAGCCCAAAGAAGCACCCAAAGCUGCCCCCAAGCCCAAGAUUGCAUCAAAGAGAAAUACCAGGAGUAUACCAGCAGCUGAGAAGAAUAAGGCCCCAAUGCCUGAGGUUGCUGCUAAGGAAGACGAGGAAGGGCAGAUCCUAAGAAAGCUCAAACCCAAGAUUCUAGACCAGAAUGAUGCUCAUCCUGUGGCUGAGAACAUGAAGAUCAGGAAAGACUCAGGGUUGAGGCUAUGGAGAUUGUCUGAUCCAUAUGCCACCAGGAGGAGGACUGCUGUAGAUUACAGGUUCCACACCAAGGAGCAGCAGGACUUCUGUGAGACAAUCUUGUUGGACAAGAAGCCCAUAGUGUGUGAUAUGAGGUGGGUCGACUGGACCUACAUGAAGGAAAAUGAAGAACACUAUCCUGGAGUGCAAGACAGUUUCAUUGCUUGUGGAGUUGCAUAUUUUGUUGGGCAGAAGCUCACCAACUGGAAUGAUGAACUCAUUAUGCAAUUCUACUCCACAACACAUUUCUAUCCAGAUGGCAGGAUAGUUUGGAUGUCUGAAGGAACAAGAUACCGGUCAACCAUAGAGGAAUGGGCAAGUCUGAUCAAAGCCCCAAAGGAGAGUGAAUAUGACUUGGAUGUAUAUGCCAAGAAGAAGAUGUGA